RNAcentral lists this ribosomal RNA (253 nucleotides) under uncultured bacterium. RNAcentral describes it as "partial 16S ribosomal RNA". It matches the Rfam family "Bacterial small subunit ribosomal RNA", at positions 524 to 776 of the family's 1533-position model. The record is from RNAcentral.
UACGUAGGGUGCAAGCGUUGUCCGGAAUUAUUGGGCGUAAAGAGCUCGUAGGCGGUCUGUUGCGUCGGCUGUGAAAACCCGGGGCUCAACCCCGGGCCUGCAGCCGAUACGGGCAGACUAGAGUGCGGUAGGGGAGACUGGAAUUCCUGGUGUAGCGGUGAAAUGCGCAGAUAUCAGGAGGAACACCGGUGGCGAAGGCGGGUCUCUGGGCCGUAACUGACGCUGAGGAGCGAAAGCGUGGGGAGCGAACAGG